Molecule: ribosomal RNA, 255 nt
Filed under: uncultured bacterium
Lineage: Bacteria
Description: partial 16S ribosomal RNA
Rfam family: Bacterial small subunit ribosomal RNA
Source: RNAcentral
UACGAGGGGGGGCAAGCGUUGUUCGGAAUUAUUGGGCGUAAAGGGCGCGUAGGCGGUGCGGUAAGUCACCUGUGAAAACUCUGGGCUCAACUCAGAGCCUGCAGGCGAAACUGCCGUGCUUGAGUGUGGGAGAGGUGCGUGGAAUUCCCCGGUGUAGCGGUGAAAUGCGUAGAUAUCGGGAGGAACACCAGUGGCGAAAGCGGCGACCUGGGUCGAGACUGACGCUGAGGCGCGAAAGCGUGGGGAGCAAACAGG